CGUAGUUUUUAGUACCCUAAACAUUUUUAUUGAAAUUAGAAUAGUGAAUACUAAAUGUAUAUUUUUUUCUUAAAAAUUCUUGCAAAUUACAACGAUUGUAUUGACACAGGUUUGAACGUCUGUGAAGUUGUCCCCUGGACUUUGUCCUAUCGACUCCAGACCAAUUCCAAAAUUUAGCAACCUUUUGGUAACUAAUUUUAACCGACAAUAAACAAUUUGCAACCAAAGAGUUUCCAAGAAAUUUCAAUUUUUAAUUUUUAAAUUAAAUUAAAUUGGAAAAUGUGAUGAAACACCAUGCAAUUAUCGGACUAGAUUUUUCUUUAAGAUAAAAAUUACUUUUGUCAAGUAAAAUAAAAAUCUUG
Molecule: non-coding RNA, 362 nt
Organism: Cinara cedri
Lineage: Eukaryota; Metazoa; Arthropoda; Insecta; Hemiptera; Aphididae
Source: the annotation of a GenBank genome assembly